Molecule: ribosomal RNA, 253 nt
Filed under: uncultured bacterium
Lineage: Bacteria
Description: partial 16S ribosomal RNA
Rfam family: Bacterial small subunit ribosomal RNA
Source: RNAcentral
UACAGAGGUGGCAAGCGUUGUUCGGAAUUACUGGGCGUAAAGGGCGCGUAGGCGGCCUUCUAAGUCAGACGUGAAAUCCCCAGGCUUAACUUGGGAACUGCGUCUGAUACUGGGAGGCUUGAGUGCGGGAGAGGGAUGUGGAAUUCCAGGUGUAGCGGUGAAAUGCGUAGAUAUCUGGAGGAACACCGGCGGCGAAGGCGGCAUCCUGGACCGGCAUUGACGCUGAGGCGCGAAAGCCAGGGGAGCAAACGGG